GAUGAACGCUGGCGGCGUGCCUAAUACAUGCAAGUCGAACGCAUAGCGAAAGGUGCUUGCACCUUUCAAGUGAGUGGCGAACGGGUGAGUAACACGUGGACAACCUGCCUCAAGGCUGGGGAUAACAUUUGGAAACAGAUGCUAAUACCGAAUAAAACUUAGUGUCGCAUGACACAAAGUUAAAAGGCGCUUCGGCGUCACCUAGAGAUGGAUCCGCGGUGCAUUAGUUAGUUGGUGGGGUAAAGGCCUACCAAGACAAUGAUGCAUAGCCGAGUUGAGAGGCGGAUCGGCUACAAUGGGAAUUAGACAAGGACCAGAAGCCUACGGGAGGCUGCAGUGGGGAAUUUUGGAAAAUGGGGGGAAGCCGGAUAGAGCAAUUACGCGGGAGUGAUGAAGGGUUUCGGGUGGUAAAGCACUGUAGGAUGGAACGAAAAGGGAGAAUCGAAAAUAGUCUGCGAAUGACGGUACCUGACGAAGAAGGAACGGCUAAAUACGUG
RNAcentral lists this ribosomal RNA (497 nucleotides) under uncultured bacterium. RNAcentral's name for it is "partial 16S ribosomal RNA". It matches the Rfam family "Bacterial small subunit ribosomal RNA", at positions 28 to 507 of the family's 1533-position model. The record is from RNAcentral.